Molecule: long non-coding RNA, 570 nt
Organism: Suricata suricatta (meerkat)
Lineage: Eukaryota; Metazoa; Chordata; Mammalia; Carnivora; Herpestidae
Exons: 2
Source: RefSeq, a predicted model, not a curated record
CGCGCACGCCGCCCGUGCGCAUGCGUGCGCGUGCGCGGGGCGGAAAUAGCGUAUUUAGGGAAGAAUCCUGGCCGUCGCUGAGAGAUGUCACUCGGUAGCAUUCUCUUCUCUUCCCCUGAAGGAAGCGCACCCGCGGGGCCCCACGAAGUCACCCGUCAUCCCACUCGGGUCGCGAAUACAGGACUGUUGCUAACACACUUGCGCUAAAGCCGGAAACAAGGGAAUGUUUGUGGAACAAAGAACCGAAGAGUCAGUUGUAGCACGCGGCACACUGGAACAUUAUCCAGCAGUGAAAACCGGGUGUGAACUGUGGCCACACCCAACAGCACCCGCGCGUGGUGGAAAGAGAACAUGGAGGGGCCCAAGGAGGUGCAGAAGAAUGGAUGCGGCCUGCGGUAACACUGCGCUCAAGAGCAAGCCUGGCUCACAGUCUACACUCGGGGCGCCCAUGCCCUGAAGAGAGGACCCGGAGUUUCGCUGGUAACAAGCGCUAGGUCCUAGAAACGUCCAAGUGAUCAGGUCGCUCUGCUGUUUAAUAUUCUUCCUGUUUAUAAAUCCUGCAAAACCCGA